Molecule: ribosomal RNA, 390 nt
Filed under: uncultured Bacteroidota bacterium
Lineage: Bacteria; Pseudomonadati; Bacteroidota
Description: bacterial SSU rRNA
Rfam family: Bacterial small subunit ribosomal RNA
Source: RNAcentral
AGUCGAGGGGAACACUUCUUCCUAUGGUGGCGACCGGCACACGGGGGCGUAACACGUAUACAACUUACCUUUUACAGAGGGGUAGCCUUUACAAAUGAAGAUUAAUACCUCAUAGCAUUGAGAUUUGGCAUCAAAUUUUAAUUAAAGAUUUAUCGGUAAAAGAUGGAUAUGCGUCCUAUUAACUAGAUGGUGAGGAAACGGGUCACCAUGGCAACGAUAGGUAGGGGUCCUGAUAAGGAGAUCCCCCACCCUGGUGCUGAAAAACGGACCAAACUCCUACUGGAGGAAGCAGUGAGGAAUAUUGUGGAAUGGAGGGAACUUUGACCCUCCCCUCCCGCGUGCGGGGAAAAAGGACCCACCGAUUGUAAACAGCUUUUUUUACAGAGAAAA